This 325-nucleotide ribosomal RNA is filed under the name uncultured bacterium. Its description in RNAcentral is "bacterial SSU rRNA". It matches the Rfam family "Bacterial small subunit ribosomal RNA", at positions 534 to 858 of the family's 1533-position model. The record is from RNAcentral.
GCGAGCGUUGUCCGGAAUUACUGGGCGUAAAGGGUGCGUAGGCGGCCCUUUAAGUCAGUGUGAAAGCCCGCAGCUUAACUGCGGAAUUGCAUUUGAAACUGGAGGGCUUGAGUGUCGGAGAGGGUAGUGGAAUUCCCAGUGUAGCGGUGAAAUGCGUAGAUAUUGGGAGGAACACCAGUGGCGAAGGCGACUGCCUGGACGAUAACUGACGCUGAGGCACGAAAGCUAGGGGAGCAAACAGGAUUAGAUACCCUGGUAGUCCUAGCCGUAAACGAUGGGUACUAGGUGUAGGUGGUUUCGAUNCCAUCUGUGCCGUAGUUAACGC